GUGCAACAUCUGCAAAAGACAGAACCAAAAAGUGGAAGAACCAUGAAGCAUAUGCCAAAAAAAGGUGACCAGAUUUCUUAUAUAUUCAUGUCAUUAUCAACAACUUAUACGAGAAUACCUACUACAGGCAAGAACUGAUAGUUAAUCAAACUUUGGUUAAGAUUGUCAAACUUCAGACAAUUCCAGAACCCAAAUUUCAAGAGAAGCCGGAAAACUUUGUAACAACUUUACAUUAGUGUAGUUGAAAUUGACAAGCUUUCAAUAUAACACUUCGGCCAUUGACUACUUCAGUCUCAACUGGUACAUCCUCAUCUUAGAUUAUUGCAGAGAACCAUUAUUUUAGAAAGAAGAAUGCAGCCCCCAAAAUGUUAGACAUGAACAUAAAAGCCCUGCUCAGUGGGCUAAAUUACAUCCGUGGUCACUGAAACUUGUACUUAAUUUCAAUUGACGCUCAAAUCUGCAAUUUGUAUUAAUCUGUUCAUCAAACUUCAAUUUUUAUUAAUGUGGCUACCAUUUUUUUUUUCUUUCUUAGCCUCAAUUUUUCUGUUUUCUCCACUUUCUCCCUUUGCUCUCUCAAAUAUGGCAGCCUAGUCAACUUUCCGAAGGGUCUGUCACUAAAUUAUGGUCACUAUGAUUUUUUUAAGAUUAAAUUGAAGUUUAAAGACCAAAUUAAAAAAAAAUUAAAUAAAUAAAUA
RNAcentral lists this unclassified non-coding RNA (695 nucleotides) under Hevea brasiliensis (rubber tree). Lineage: Eukaryota; Viridiplantae; Streptophyta; Magnoliopsida; Malpighiales; Euphorbiaceae. The record is from RNAcentral.